GCCGCGGUGACCCAACCGGUAGAGGUACCCGGCUCAAACCCGGGGUCUGCGGGUUCAACUCCCGCCCGCGGUA
This 73-nucleotide transfer RNA is filed under the name Micromonosporaceae bacterium. It matches the Rfam family "tRNA". Rfam says of the family: Transfer RNA (tRNA) molecules are approximately 80 nucleotides in length. Their secondary structure includes four short double-helical elements and three loops (D, anti-codon, and T loops). The record is from Rfam by way of RNAcentral. Lineage: Bacteria; Bacillati; Actinomycetota; Actinomycetes; Micromonosporales; Micromonosporaceae.